This 271-nucleotide ribosomal RNA is filed under the name uncultured bacterium. Its description in RNAcentral is "partial 16S ribosomal RNA". It matches the Rfam family "Bacterial small subunit ribosomal RNA", at positions 524 to 794 of the family's 1533-position model. The record is from RNAcentral.
GACGAGGGAUCCUAGCGUUGUUCGGAAUUAUUGGGCGUAAAGCGGGUGUAGGUGGCUUUGUAAGUCAGGUGUGAAAGCCCAGGGCUCAACCCUGGAAGUGCAUCUGAUACUGUAGGACUUGAGUUCGGUAGAGGAGGGCGGAAUUCCAGGUGUAGCGGUGAAAUGCGUAGAUAUCUGGAGGAACACCCGUGGCGAAGGCGGCGCUCUGGUCCGAAACUGACGCUGAGGUGCGAAAGCUAGGGUAGCAAACAGGAUUAGAAACCCGAGUAGU